AAAAACCCGGACCGGGCCGCCUGGCCACCCUUUGUGCGGGUGUCCGCUCCCCAGGCUCCGAAAGCCUUGCCAGCCCUUGUGAUCGGGUGGCACCGCCCACCAGGCGUGUGAAAGAAAGAAGAAAAGAAGAAAAAGCCCGGACCGGGCCGCCUGGCCACCCUUUGUGCGGGUGUCCGCUCCCCAGGCUCCGAAAGCCUUGCCAGCCCUUGUGAUCGGGUGGCACCGCCCACCAGGCGUGUGAAAGAAAGAGAAAGAAGAAAAAACCCGGACCGGGCCGCCUGGCCACCCUUUGUGCGGGUGUCCGCUCCCCAGGCUCCGAAAGCCCUGCCAGCCCUUGUGAUCGGGUGGCACCGCCCACCAGGCGUGUGAAAGAAAGAAGAAAAGAAGAAAAAGCCCGGACCGGGCCGCCUGGCCACCCUUUGUGCGGGUGUCCGCUCCCCAGGCUCCGAAAGCCUUGCCAGCCCUUGUGAUCGGGUGGCACCGCCCACCAGGCGUGUGAAAGAAAGAAGAAAAGAAGAAAAAACCCGGACCGGGCCGCCUGGCCACCCUUUGUGCGGGUGUCCGCUCCCCAGGCUCCGAAAGCCUUGCCAGCCCUUGUGAUCGGGUGGCACCGCCCACCAGGCGUGUGAAAGAAGGAAGAAAAAACCCGGACCGGGCCGCCUGGCCACCCUUUGUGCGGGUGUCCGCUCCCCAGGCUCCGAAAGCCUUGCCAGCCCUUGUGAUCGGGUGGCACCGCCCACCAGGCGUGUGAAAGAAGGAAGAAAAAACCCGGACCGGGCCGCCUGGCCACCCUUUGUGCGGGUGUCUGCUCCCCAGGCUCCGAAAGCCCUGAGAGCGAUUGUGAUCGGGUGGCACCGCCCACCAGGCGUGUGAAAGAAAGAAGAAAAGAAGAAAAAACCCAGACCGGGCCGCCUGGCCACCCUUUGUGCGGGUGUCCGCUCCCCAGGCUCCGAAAGCCUUGCCAGCCCUUGUGAUCGGGUGGCACCGCCCACCAGGCGUGUGAAAGAAAGAAGAAAAGAAGAAAAAACCCGGACCGGGCCGCCUGGCCACCCUUUGUGCGGGUGUCCGCUCCCCAGGCUCCGAAAGCCUUGCCAGCCCUUGUGAUCGGGUGGCACCGCCCACCAGGCGUGUGAAAGAAAGAAGAAAAAACCCGGACCGGGCCGCCUGGCCACCCUUUGUGCGGGUGUCCGCUCCCCAGGCUCCGAAAGCCUUGCCAGCCCUUGUGAUCGGGUGGCACCGCCCACCAGGCGUGUGAAAGAAGGAAGAAAAAACCCGGACCGGGCCGCCUGGCCACCCUUUGUGCGGGUGUCCGCUCCCCAGGCUCCGAAAGCCUUGCCAGCCCUUGUGAUCG
Molecule: long non-coding RNA, 1351 nt
Organism: Astatotilapia calliptera (eastern happy)
Lineage: Eukaryota; Metazoa; Chordata; Actinopteri; Cichliformes; Cichlidae
Source: Ensembl